Molecule: ribosomal RNA, 327 nt
Filed under: uncultured eukaryote
Lineage: Eukaryota
Description: partial 18S ribosomal RNA
Rfam family: Eukaryotic small subunit ribosomal RNA
Source: RNAcentral
CCCUUAGAUGUUCUGGGCCGCACGCGCGCUACACUGACGAAUGCAACGAGCUUAUAACCUUGGCCGAAGGGUCUGGGUAAUCUCCAAAUUUCGUCGUGAUGGGGAUAGAUUAUUGCAAUUAUUAAUCUUCAACGAGGAAUGCCUAGUAAGCGCAAGUCAUCAGCUUGCGUUGAUUACGUCCCUGCCCUUUGUACACACCGCCCGUCGCUCCUACCGAUUGAAUGGUCCGGUGAAGCGUUCGGACCGUGGCCUUUGGACGGUUCGCCGUCUGUUGGCUGCGGGAAGUUCGUUAAACCUUAUCAUUUAGAGGAAGGAGAAGUCGUAACA